RNAcentral lists this long non-coding RNA (877 nucleotides) under Homo sapiens (human). Its description in RNAcentral is "HSALNT0327228". The record is from RNAcentral. Lineage: Eukaryota; Metazoa; Chordata; Mammalia; Primates; Hominidae.
CAGAGGUCCAGGACCUAGUAUAUCUCAUCCUGGGAUGAGAUAAAAGUGAGAGGAGGCUAGUCCUGUGGGAUUAUUCUUAACAUUUCCACCAGAAGUUUCUACUACUUGAGUUCUCCCUCAUCGUGUGACCCUAUUCACCACACCAGUGAAUAAGCUUCCUCAGAAACAUGUCCUGGUUUGUGCAUGAAUUUCCCUGAUUUAUACCUGGAAGCCUCCAAUCUGGACUAGACAUCCUUAGUUGUAAUGGACUCUCUGGUUGAUGUCACCCCAACUUCCCAGGCUUCUAUCAAUGACCUCUACUUUUUAUUAAUGUUACCAUGCGUCUACUUGGUUUGUCAUACUUUCUGAAGUACUAGAACUUGACGGAGCUGGGUAUGCACUAACAUGUUAUACUUGUCCUUGUGUGGCUGCUUAUUGAGGCUGUAGGUCUGCCGUUUGGUAGAAUACAAUUAACAAGAUCGUAGAAUAGGGGAAAGAACACAUGGGUAAAGCACCCAGUAACCAGUCAUGCAGAGGCUUAGUGAUGUAAGAACUCACACCAUAAUCUGGUUAAUUUUUUACUUUUUUGAGACAGGGUCUUGCUCUGUUGCCCAGGCUGGAGUGCAGUGGCUUGAUGAUGGCUUACUGCAGCCUCAAACUCCUGGGUUCAAGCAAUCCUUCUGCCAUAGCCUCCUGAAUAGCUGGGACCACAGUUACAUGUUACCAUGCCUGGUUAAUUUUUUAUUUUCACUUUUUGUAGAGACAGGGAUCUCUCUAUGUUGCCCAGGCUGGUCUUGAAUUCCUGGACUCAAGUGAUCCUCCCACCUUGGCUUCCCAAAGUGCCAGGAUUACAGGCAUGAGCCACCACGCCUGGCUGGUUAAUUUUUACAAAUGAAAA